CUAUAAGCAAAUCUCUACUUUUUAGAUUCAUUUAAUAAACGAUGUAUGUGGUCUACAAUGUAAACCACAGACAUCAUUUAUUAAAUGAAUCUAAAAAGUAGAAAUUUGCUUAUAA
Molecule: microRNA precursor, 115 nt
Organism: Medicago truncatula (barrel medic)
Lineage: Eukaryota; Viridiplantae; Streptophyta; Magnoliopsida; Fabales; Fabaceae
Rfam family: MIR2593 microRNA precursor family
Source: Rfam